This is a long non-coding RNA of Esox lucius (northern pike), 1204 nucleotides long. The record is from Ensembl. Lineage: Eukaryota; Metazoa; Chordata; Actinopteri; Esociformes; Esocidae.
GAAAAAGUUUUACUCUUGACAAAAUUACACAAAUGUAACUUCAUACCGUUCUGCUGCAAUCCAAUAUGUCAUAUUUUCUGAGCAAUUUCUUUGGUAAAUUGUAAAGCCUAUUUUGUUUAAAUUUGCAGUCUGGGAUCUUUGGCCACUGGUUGUAAAAGUAUUGCUAUUGAGCCAAAAUGGAUCCCAGAGAACUGUGCCUUCGGGAAAGUAUUCAGACCCCUUCACCUUCUUAAAAUUUUGUUGUGUUAUAGACUUCAUUUAGAAUUGAUUAAAUUGUUCUUGACAUCAAUCCAUACGCAGUACCCAAUAAUGACAAAGCAAAAACACAUGAGAAGCAUCAUCAUAGCACGAUGCUGCCACUAUCACACUUCACUGUAGGGAUGGUAUUAGCCAGAUGUAGCACUUGAUAUUCAGGUCAAACUCUUUGAUUUUGGUCUCAUCAGACAAGAGACAAUUUUUAAUCAGGCUGUCGGAGUCCUUCAGGCAGCAUGUCAUAUGCCUUUUACUCAGGAAUGGCCUCCAUCUAGCCACUUGUACCAGAAAGACCUAAUCGAGUUCUGCAAUCGUUCUUGAGAUAUUUGUAUACAUCUAGGACACAGCAUGUGUCUGAGAUCAAUUUGGAAUGCCAUGGCAAAUAAUCAAUGAAGAGUAUAUUGAAUUCAGUCUAUAACACAACAAAAUGUGGAGGAAAUGUAUGUGCAGGUAUGUGCCCAUUUCAUACAAACUACUCAAAUUAAAUUGUCAUGGUUAACUAAGGUAUGGUCAUUAUUCUACCAAUAGACUAUUCAGUAAUAAGUAAUAACAACAACAUAUUACACAACCAUGCCAAAAUAGUUUGUUAGUCAGAGUCCCAGACUGGAUUUUUAACUUUCAUUUAUGAGGUAUUUAGCCUGGCAAUUGCAUAUUUUAUUACAAUUUCUAAAACUUUUGGUAUAUGUGGAUUGAAAUUGUAUAUGAAAGCACAUUGAUAAUAUAAGAAUACGUGGUGUAAAAUAAAAGUUAUAGCCAAAUCCAAAUGACCACACCUGGUGGAAAGAACGCGGGAGAUUUUCAACAAACCCACCCCUUAUGCAAAUAUUUAAGCUAUGAUUUCGCGCCACCGUGUAGGGCUUGAAAGGUUACAAUUUCUGAAUCUGUAUAUGUAUAAUCAUUGUUUCACAUUUGUACAAAAAUAAAAGUAUUCAGCAGGAAUAUUUAAAUAAUG